AGUGAACGCUGGCGGCGUGCUUAACACAUGCAAGUCGAACGAGAACGGGUUAUAGCUUGCUAUAAUUGUCAGCUAAGUGGCGCACGGGUGAGUAAUGUAUAGGUAAUAUGCCUCUUACUAAGGGAUAACAAAUGGAAACGUUUGCUAAUACCUUAUACUCCUUAUUAACAUAAGUUAAUAAGGGAAAGAUUUAUUGGUAAGAGAUUAGCCUGUAUUGUAUCAGUUAGUUGGUGGGGUAAUGGCUUACCAAGACUAUGACACAUAACUGGUUUGAGAGGAUGAUCAGUCACACUGGAACUGAGACACGGUCCAGACUCCUACGGGAGGCAGCAGUGGGGAAUAUUGCACAAUGGACGAAAGUCUGAUGCAGCAACGCCGCGUGGAGGAUGACACAUUUCGGUGCGUAAACUCCUUUUAUAUGAGAAGAUAAUGACGGUAUUAUAUGAAUAAGCACCGGCUAACUCCGUGCCAGCAGCCGCCGUAA
RNAcentral lists this ribosomal RNA (484 nucleotides) under uncultured bacterium. RNAcentral describes it as "partial 16S ribosomal RNA". It matches the Rfam family "Bacterial small subunit ribosomal RNA", at positions 29 to 523 of the family's 1533-position model. The record is from RNAcentral.